RNAcentral lists this ribosomal RNA (497 nucleotides) under uncultured bacterium. RNAcentral's name for it is "partial 16S ribosomal RNA". It matches the Rfam family "Bacterial small subunit ribosomal RNA", at positions 28 to 507 of the family's 1533-position model. The record is from RNAcentral.
GACGAACGCUGGCGGCGUGCCUAAUACAUGCAAGUUGAGCGCUGAAGGUUGGUACUUGUACCGACUGGAUGAGCAGCGAACGGGUGAGUAACGCGUGGGGAAUCUGCCUUUGAGCGGGGGACAACAUUUGGAAACGAAUGCUAAUACCGCAUAAAAACUUUAAACACAAGUUUUAAGUUUGAAAGAUGCAAUUGCAUCACUCAAAGAUGAUCCCGCGUUGUAUCAGCUAGUUGGUGAGGUAAAGGCUCACCAAGGCGAUGAUACAUAGCCGACCUGAGAGGGUGAGCGGCCGCAUUGGGACUGAGACCCGGCCCAAACGCCUACGGGAGGCAGCAGGAGGGAAUCGUCGGCAAUGGACGAAAGUCUGACCGAGCAACGCCGCGGGAGGGAAGAAGGUUUUCGGAUCGUAAAACUCUGUUGGUAGAGAAGAACGUUGGUGAGAGUGGAAAGCUCAUCAAGUGACGGUAACUACCCAGAAAGGGACGGCUAACUACGUG